CCACCUGUGGCGCAGUGGUUUGCGUUUUUGCCUCAAGCGCAAAGGGUCCCGGGUUCGACUCCCACUGGUGGC
This 72-nucleotide transfer RNA is filed under the name Caenorhabditis remanei. It matches the Rfam family "tRNA". From Rfam's summary of the family: Transfer RNA (tRNA) molecules are approximately 80 nucleotides in length. Their secondary structure includes four short double-helical elements and three loops (D, anti-codon, and T loops). The record is from Rfam by way of RNAcentral. Lineage: Eukaryota; Metazoa; Nematoda; Chromadorea; Rhabditida; Rhabditidae.